RNAcentral lists this long non-coding RNA (254 nucleotides) under Setaria viridis. RNAcentral describes it as "long non-coding RNA (SVIR_LNC011085)". The record is from RNAcentral. Lineage: Eukaryota; Viridiplantae; Streptophyta; Magnoliopsida; Poales; Poaceae.
UGCACCUGCAUUUGCAGGACAGGCAGCCACAUUGAAUACAACUUAAAACCAAACAACUUGUAAACCGCUUCUAUAGCUGUAAUCAUUCUUACAUCACGGUACUACUUGAUCUCAUUUAUUACCCUGUGCUCAUUUCCUUUUGCAUCAACAAAGAAUGAAGUUCGAUCAUGGCCUUUAUAUAUGCAUUUGUAAAGAUAUUUAACUGACUUGAUGCUACUGCAAAUCUUAACAUUGAUAUGGCAGUUAUACCUCAU